RNAcentral lists this ribosomal RNA (253 nucleotides) under uncultured bacterium. RNAcentral's name for it is "partial 16S ribosomal RNA". It matches the Rfam family "Bacterial small subunit ribosomal RNA", at positions 524 to 776 of the family's 1533-position model. The record is from RNAcentral.
UACGUAGGUGGCGAGCAUUGUCCGGAUUUACUGGGCGUAAAGGGAGCGUAGGCGGAUUUUUAAGUGAGAUGUGAAAUACCCGGGCUCAACUUGGGUGCUGCAUUUCAAACUGGAAGUCUAGAGUGCAGGAGAGGAGAGUGGAAUUCCUAGUGUAGCGGUGAAAUGCGUAGAGAUUAGGAAGAACACCAGUGGCGAAGGCGACUCUCUGGACUGUAACUGACGCUGAGGCUCGAAAGCGUGGGGAGCAAACAGG